Molecule: transfer RNA, 92 nt
Filed under: Thiemannella venezuelensis
Lineage: Bacteria; Bacillati; Actinomycetota; Actinomycetes; Streptosporangiales; Streptosporangiaceae
Description: Planomonospora venezuelensis tRNA-Ser
Source: RNAcentral
AGGGGCGGGUGGUCCCGGUGAAGAAGGCCGCCGGGCUGCUGACGCGGCCGCACGCGUUGUGGGAGGCGGCGUUCGAGGCGUUCCCGACCCUG